GGACUUGUAGCUCAGUUGGUUAGAGCGUUUCAUUCACAUUGAAAAGGUCAGAGGUUCAAGUCCUCUUAAGUCCA
Molecule: transfer RNA, 74 nt
Filed under: Candidatus Daviesbacteria bacterium
Lineage: Bacteria; Candidatus Daviesiibacteriota
Description: tRNA-Val
Rfam family: tRNA
About the family: Transfer RNA (tRNA) molecules are approximately 80 nucleotides in length. Their secondary structure includes four short double-helical elements and three loops (D, anti-codon, and T loops).
Source: RNAcentral